RNAcentral lists this ribosomal RNA (863 nucleotides) under Gilliamella sp. wkB112. Its description in RNAcentral is "bacterial SSU rRNA". It matches the Rfam family "Bacterial small subunit ribosomal RNA", at positions 671 to 1533 of the family's 1533-position model. Lineage: Bacteria; Pseudomonadati; Pseudomonadota; Gammaproteobacteria; Orbales; Orbaceae. The record is from RNAcentral.
ACGUGUAGCGGUGAAAUGCGUAGAGAUGUGGAGGAAUACCGGUGGCGAAGGCGGCCUUCUGGACAGAUACUGACGCUGAGAUGCGAAAGCGUGGGGAGCAAACAGGAUUAGAUACCCUGGUAGUCCACGCUGUAAACGAUGUCGAUUUGGAGUUUGUUGCCUAGAGUGAUGGGCUCCGAAGCUAACGCGAUAAAUCGACCGCCUGGGGAGUACGGCCGCAAGGUUAAAACUCAAAUGAAUUGACGGGGGCCCGCACAAGCGGUGGAGCAUGUGGUUUAAUUCGAUGCAACGCGAAGAACCUUACCUGGUCUUGACAUCCAUAGAAUCUUGCAGAGAUGCGAGAGUGCCUUCGGGAGCUAUGAGACAGGUGCUGCAUGGCUGUCGUCAGCUCGUGUUGUGAAAUGUUGGGUUAAGUCCCGCAACGAGCGCAACCCUUAUCCUUUGUUGCCAUCGAUUCGGUCGGGAACUCAAAGGAGACUGCCGUUGAUAAAGCGGAGGAAGGUGGGGACGACGUCAAGUCAUCAUGGCCCUUACGACCAGGGCUACACACGUGCUACAAUGGCGUAUACAAAGGGAGGCGACCUCGCGAGAGCAAGCGGACCUCAUAAAGUACGUCUAAGUCCGGAUUGGAGUCUGCAACUCGACUCCAUGAAGUCGGAAUCGCUAGUAAUCGUGAAUCAGAAUGUCACGGUGAAUACGUUCCCGGGCCUUGUACACACCGCCCGUCACACCAUGGGAGUGGGUUGCACCAGAAGUAGAUAGCUUAACCUUCGGGAGGGCGUUUACCACGGUGUGAUUCAUGACUGGGGUGAAGUCGUAACAAGGUAACCGUAGGGGAACCUGCGGUUGGAUCACCUCCUUAC